This 500-nucleotide ribosomal RNA is filed under the name uncultured bacterium. RNAcentral describes it as "partial 16S ribosomal RNA". It matches the Rfam family "Bacterial small subunit ribosomal RNA", at positions 30 to 523 of the family's 1533-position model. The record is from RNAcentral.
AUUGAACGCUGGCGGAAUGCUUUACUCAUGCAAGUCGAACGGCAGCACGGACUUCGGUCUGGUGGCGAGUGGCGAACGGGUGAGUAAUAUAUCGGAACGUAUCCAAUAAUGGGGGAUAACUAAUCGAAAGGUUGGCUAAUACCGCAUACGUCCUACGGGAGAAAGCUAGGGACCUUCGGGCCUGGCGUUAAUGGAGCGGCCGAUAUCGGAUUAGCUAGAUGGUGAGGUAAAGGCUCACCAAGGCGACGAUCCGUAGCCGGUCUGAGAGGACGACCAGCCACACUGGAACUGAGACACGGUCCAGACUCCUACGGGAGGCAGAAGUGGGGAAUUUUGGACAAUGGGCGAAAGCCUGAUCCAGCCAUUCCGCGUGAGUGAAGAAGGCCUUCGGGUUGUAAAGCUCUUUCGCAAGAGAAGAAAACUUACCCUCUAACAUAGGGUGAGGUUGACGGUAUCUUGAUAAGAAGCACCGGCUAACUACGUGCCAGCCGCCGCCGUAA